Long non-coding RNA from Erinaceus europaeus (western European hedgehog), 1517 nucleotides. RefSeq lists it as uncharacterized. NCBI's taxonomy places the organism in Eukaryota, Metazoa, Chordata, Mammalia, Eulipotyphla, Erinaceidae. The record is from RefSeq and is a predicted model, not a curated record. The transcript is spliced from 2 exons.
CGGUUCGAACCCCGGCUUCCUACCUGCAGGGGAGUCGCUUCACAGGCAGUGAAGCAGGUCUGCAGGUGUCUAUCUUUCUCUCCUCCUCUCUGUCUUCCCCUCCUCUCUCCAUUUCUCUCUGUCCUAUCCAACAACGACAACAACAAUAAUAACUACAACAAUAAAACAACAAGGGCAACAAAAGGGAAUAAAUAAAUAAAAUAAAUAUAUUUUUAAAAAAAGUAAAAAUAAGUGUGCUGGAGAUAAUAGCCCAUCUUAUUGUCUCUAACUGUUGUUACUGUCUACAAAAAUCUAAAGCUUUAUUUUUCACUGUUCCAUCCAUUAAAAAAAAAAACCAAAAUACAUAAAUAGGACCAGCAAAAUAGCUUACCUGGAGUGUGCAUGCUUUGCCAUGCUUUCCAUGCAGCUCAGACUUAGGCCCAAUGUCUUAUUGCAUUGUAGGGAACUUCAGGGCUGUUUCUGUCUGUCUGAAAGAAGUCAUCCCAGAGAGGUGAAACUCUGUGACGGGGGAAACAAACAAACAAACAAAAAAAAACCUUGCCACUAUUUCUUCCAAAAGACAUGCUUUACUCACUUAUUUUUCUCCAUUCUCAUGCUAUCACACUAGUAUCACGCUAGUAUCUAGUAUCUCGUGCUAUCACAUUGUUUUUUAAUCUUAUCUUCUAACCUGUGUUCUUACAUAAGAUUUUCAGUCUUACCCUCAACCAGUUCUUAUCAGUAUACAGUCAUCCCUCAUAUUGCAGUUAGUCAGUUCUAGACUGUACCUUGAUAGGUGAAUUUCUGUGAAGUAGGAUUAUUUAUUUCUAAAUCGAAUAUUUUCAUAGUUAGAGCAUAGAAAACCAGUGUAUGACCUUCUAAGUACGGGUUUUCACAUUCCUAGAGCCCUCUAGACAUUAAAUAACACCCCUUUAGCUUUGUUUCCUUGUUGAAAGAGACAGUAGCUGUUGCACAGAUAUUUUUUCAUCUUUCUGGGUGGAGCAAACGGUAGACUCAUUCAAGUUGUAAUGGCAGCAACUUCCAUAAUUUUUUUGUCAUCUUUGAUCAUAUCCAAGAGUGUCACCUUCUCCUGGAUGGUAAGCAUCUUCAUCGGCGCUUAGUUUCAUUGUCAGGAGGCUUAAAAGAAGCAGCAUGUUUAGCACUGGGCUUAGAUAAAGGUUCUCAGAAAUCACAAACAUUUCCAAGAGCAAAGAUGCUGUAUAGCAAUGUAGAAACACGCUCUGAUUGGCUUGGUUUUCCCACACCUGAUUACACACACACACACACACACACACACACACACACACACACACACACACGUCAAGCAGCUGCACCUGGCCUUAAAGGAUUUGCGGGGGUGCUCAAAUGCAUAGGCUUACAGUGCAUACAUACAGUCAUCUUAAUUGUAAUACAGGAAUGUAUACUUGACUCAGACAACUGUGUGUGUGCUGUAUAAUUUUCACUGUCUCCAUCAACUUUUUCAUGAGUUUAUUUGAAAAAACUGAGAUAGAAUGAAGCCGUGAAAGUCGAAACAUGAAGUG